Molecule: long non-coding RNA, 1075 nt
Organism: Carassius carassius (crucian carp)
Lineage: Eukaryota; Metazoa; Chordata; Actinopteri; Cypriniformes; Cyprinidae
Exons: 2
Source: RefSeq, a predicted model, not a curated record
CACUUGCAGUGGAGCGACUCUCUUGUGUCUUUCCUCUAGGUGUCUUGACAAACACAACUUGAGAAAUACUAAUUUCAAUGGAAAGAGCAGACCAUCUCUUUUCGCCCCAGUGGUCUUGGAGUUGCUCUCUGAUGUCCGUGGGGGUUCCCCUCUAUUCUCUCCCUGCUGAAUCCCACCUCGUGGGGACCUUUCCCAAUCCUUGUAAAGGAAUAUGUUUCAGAAUGCUUACUGUGCAAGGUUUUACAGCGUUCAAUUUGAGCUGUGUGAACGUCUGGAAAGCUUCCAAAGAGCCUCAGAUCUCCCAGCAUUCCUCAGGAGAGCUGAAAGCGAGCUGCGGCCAAACACAUGAGCCUUUCACAUGAGCCCGGUGAUCAGUACCACACUACAGCUGCCGUUCACUCCUCCCUUUGGCCUGCUAAUUCUUGCUUCUCUCUGUCCUUCUCUCGUUUUCUCUCCUGUUGUGUUCACCCCCCCCCCCCACCUCCUGUCAGGGCUCACACAUUCUCUCUAAAGCUCAGAGUGAGUUUGUCUGCGGUGCGUAUAGCUAAAAGCUGUGCUGGGCCUCUCUGCUGGCCAGAUGUUCAGGGUAUCCAUGCAGGCAUGGCUGAAUUCAUUGCCGAACUGACUCUCCGAACUUUUCUGUGGUUCUUUAGCAAGAUGAUUGGCUGAGAGACAGCGAUCCCAGACAUUCUAGAACAGCAACGUUUUUCGAAAUGGGUUCAAGAUUCUGCUGGACAAAAAGCUACAAGGAAUCUUUUUCUCACUCAACCUUUAAACAUCUGAACGUUCAAUAAACUUUGUUCAUUUUGUGUGGGUGCCCGUGCAUAGCUCCAGAACGACCUCAUUGGGAUCCAUAUCACGACAGUGAUGAGAGUAAUAAUAUAAAUACUCGUUUUGGUGGUUAGCAGCAAUUACAAUCAAACUUGCUACCGAAUACCGAACAUACACACUGAUGCAAUAGUGUGCUGCAAACCAUGAAGUAUCACAGGUAUUGCAAAUUUUUGUUUACUUUGAUUUGAACCAGCUUAAAACUGAACUAGGCCACCUUAAAUAUCAAAUAAAUAAAUCAAAUAAA